AGUGAACGCUGGCGGUAGGCCUAACACAUGCAAGUCGAACGGCAGCACAGGAGAGCUUGCUCUCUGGGUGGCGAGUGGCGGACGGGUGAGGAAUACAUCGGAAUCUACUCUGUCGUGGGGGAUAACGUAGGGAAACUUACGCUAAUACCGCAUACGACCUACGGGUGAAAGCAGGGGACCUUCGGGCCUUGCGCGAUUGAAUGAGCCGAUGUCGGAUUAGCUAGUUGGCGGGGGAAAGGCCCCCCAAGGCGACGAUCCGUAGCUGGUCUGAGAGGAUGAUCAUCAACACUGGAACUGAGACACGGGCCAGACUCCUACGGGAGGCAGCAGUGGGGAAUAUUGGACAAUGGGCGCAAGCCUGAUCCAGCCAUACCGCGUGGGUGAAGAAGGCCUUCGGGUUGUAAAGCCCUUUUGUUGGGAAGGAAAUCCAGCUGGCUAAUACCCGGUUGGGAUGACGGUACCCAAAGAAUAAGCACCGGCUAACUUCGUGCCAGCCGCCGCGGUAA
This 506-nucleotide ribosomal RNA is filed under the name uncultured bacterium. Its description in RNAcentral is "partial 16S ribosomal RNA". It matches the Rfam family "Bacterial small subunit ribosomal RNA", at positions 29 to 523 of the family's 1533-position model. The record is from RNAcentral.